This 1078-nucleotide long non-coding RNA is filed under the name Mus spicilegus (steppe mouse). Its description in RNAcentral is "lncRNA (ENSMSIG00000019617.1)". Lineage: Eukaryota; Metazoa; Chordata; Mammalia; Rodentia; Muridae. The record is from RNAcentral.
CAAGAAUCCUGUAUAUAAUUAGCUAACUAGAUUGGGAAGUGACCCCCUGCCAACAGUUGUCUGGACUCUGAAUUUAUUGACCUUGUUACUCUUGUUGUUUCCAACAUGGAAGGGGAAUAAACUGGACUGAAGGACCUUUGGUGAUCUCGCUCCUUUGCUCCUUGGACCUGGAAUUAAUCUAAAAGUCCAAGAAAGCAUCUGGUUCUGCAAAGAUACAGAAGCCAACAGUUGCCCGUCACUGCUCCUAAUCGUGUUUGCCAGUUCCAGGUGGUGUGAACUUCUCCUGGGACCAUCUGUCCCUCCCAGCAGCUCCAGAGCCACACUGCCUUGGAAGACCCGACAGACAGAUUGCUCCACCUUGACUCUUCUUUCCACAGUGUCUUCAGCAUCUCUGUUCCUCCCAUUCCCACUCCAUUUCUUCUAUCUCUCCCCAUGCAAGAGUGGAUCAGCUGCCUCCUGGGCCAGUAGGGUCCUUUGCAGGUGGCCAACCAAGAGAAAGAGGAAGUGGCUCUUGGAAUCACAGACCCAGGCUGGGAAGAGUUUGUGUGAUGCAGUGGCCACCCCCUAAGAGCUGCAGUGAUCCUCUCUGAGCCCUUCAGAAAGCGCUAUGACCACAAAAAACAAGCCUAGAGAAGAAACAUAAUGGAAGUCCACGGCCAGACCUAAAGCAGCCUUUCAGUUUCUGUCCAAACAAGACUGCUUUUCCAUUACUGAUGCUGGAUCAAAUGAAUAUCUAUAUUAAAAAAAAAGAAAUCAGUUGCAAGCAAAUCAUGUGUCUCAAUCUAAAAGAAUUAAAAAAGAAAAGUGGAAAGAAAUCACUGGACUAGGACACAUGAAAGAUAUCCUAAUGCUGAGUGGUAGAGAACGAUGUAGAAUGCCCUAGAUGUGAAAGGAAACAAUGCACAAGCACACAAACAAAGCAUAAUUGAUAAUUAAGAGCACAUAAAAUUAGGAAACUGUCUGAUAAUAUUUGAAAUGAAAAGUUAGGCAAGAAGCAAAUGGCUUUGACAAUAUAUGUAACCUCAGCCGGGCGUGGUGGAACAUGACUUUAAUCCCAGCACUUGGGAGGCAGAGGCAG